GAUGAACGCUGGCGGCGUGCCUAAUACAUGCAAGUCGAGCGAACAGACGAGGAGCUUGCUCCUUUGACGUUAGCGGCGGACGGGUGAGUAACACGUGGGUAACCUACCUAUAAGACUGGGAUAACUUCGGGAAACCGGAGCUAAUACCGGAUAAUAUUUCGAACCGCAUGGUUCGAUAGUGAAAGAUGGCUUUGCUAUCACUUAUAGAUGGACCUGCGCCGUAUUAGCUAGUUGGUAAGGUAACGGCUUACCAAGGCAACGAUCCGUAGCCGACCUGAGAGGGUGAUCGGCCACACUGGAACUGAGACACGGUCCAGACUCCUACGGGAGGCAGCAGUAGGGAAUCUUCCGCAAUGGGCGAAAGCCUGACGGAGCAACGCCGCGUGAGUGAUGAAGGUCUUCGGAUCGUAAAACUCUGUUAUUAGGGAAGAACAAACGUGUAAUUAACUGUUCACGUCUUGACGGUACCUAAUCAGAAAGCCACGGCUAACUACGUG
Molecule: ribosomal RNA, 497 nt
Filed under: uncultured bacterium
Lineage: Bacteria
Description: partial 16S ribosomal RNA
Rfam family: Bacterial small subunit ribosomal RNA
Source: RNAcentral